GCCAAAACCGCACGUGUCUCCGUCUCCCACUCCCCCCACCUGGCGUACAGCGGGUGCGUCACUUCUGGGGCCCGCUGAGGUGGGAAGCGCUGGGCAUGAGGCAGAGCCAGGAGGAGAGGAGUAGAAGAAGCUGGGACAUCGACACUUGAGCUCCCUCUUUGACCCAUGCUGCCAGCAGCCACUUAUCCAGGUAUGGGAAGACAAGGAUUCCCCGAUGUUGAAGAAAACACAGCACUAAAAAUGAGAGGUCAGCAGAAGCGCCAUCUUGGACCAUGUGGCAGUGAGAAGAAACUGGAGAUGCUGUCAGUCUUCCCCGCUCUUUACUGCCUCAGGUGAAACCACGAGGCAAUAUAAGAGCACAUGUGCAGACUACCGAGAAAUACAACUUUGAAAAGG
This is a long non-coding RNA of Mauremys reevesii (Reeves's turtle), 396 nucleotides long. RefSeq lists it as uncharacterized. The transcript is spliced from 3 exons. The record is from RefSeq and is a predicted model, not a curated record. Lineage: Eukaryota; Metazoa; Chordata; Testudines; Geoemydidae.